RNAcentral lists this ribosomal RNA (530 nucleotides) under Micromonospora andamanensis. Its description in RNAcentral is "bacterial SSU rRNA". It matches the Rfam family "Bacterial small subunit ribosomal RNA", at positions 31 to 579 of the family's 1533-position model. The record is from RNAcentral. Lineage: Bacteria; Bacillati; Actinomycetota; Actinomycetes; Micromonosporales; Micromonosporaceae.
GAACGCUGGCGGCGUGCUUAACACAUGCAAGUCGAGCGGAAAGGCCCUUCGGGGUACUCGAGCGGCGAACGGGUGAGUAACACGUGAGCAACCUGCCCCAAGCUUUGGGAUAACCCUCGGAAACGGGGGCUAAUACCGAAUAUUACUUGUGGUCGCAUGACUGUGGGUGGAAAGUUUUUCGGCUUGNGAUGGGCUCGCGGCCUAUCAGCUUGUUGGUGGGGUGAUGGCCUACCAAGGCGACGACGGGUAGCCGGCCUGAGAGGGCGACCGGCCACACUGGGACUGAGACACGGCCCAGACUCCUACGGGAGGCAGCAGUGGGGAAUAUUGCACAAUGGGCGGAAGCCUGAUGCAGCGACGCCGCGUGAGGGAUGACGGCCUUCGGGUUGUAAACCUCUUUCAGCAGGGACGAAGCGGAAGUGACGGUACCUGCAGAAGAAGCGCCGGCCAACUACGUGCCAGCAGCCGCGGUAAGACGUAGGGCGCGAGCGUUGUCCGGAUUUAUUGGGCGUAAAGAGCUCGUAGGCGGC